CCUACGGGAGGCAGCAGUGGGGAAUAUUGGACAAUGGGCGAAAGCCUGAUCCAGCAAUGCCGCGUGAGUGAUGAAGGCCUUCGUGUCGUAAAGCUCUUUUACCAGGGAUGAUAAUGACAGUACCUGGAGAAUAAGCUCCGGCUAACUCCGUGCCAGCAGCCGCGGUAAUACGGAGGGAGCUAGCGUUGUUCGGAAUUUACUGGGCGUAAAGAGUACGUAGGCGGUUAUUCAAGUCAGAGGUGAAAGCCCCGGGGCUCAACCCCGGAACUGCCUUUGAAACUAGAUAACUAGAGUCUUGGAGAGGUUAGUGGAAUUCCGAGUGUAGAGGUGAAAAUUCGUAGAUAUUCGGAAGAACACCAGUGGNGAG
RNAcentral lists this ribosomal RNA (367 nucleotides) under uncultured bacterium. Its description in RNAcentral is "bacterial SSU rRNA". It matches the Rfam family "Bacterial small subunit ribosomal RNA", at positions 338 to 719 of the family's 1533-position model. The record is from RNAcentral.